RNAcentral lists this long non-coding RNA (3900 nucleotides) under Sorghum bicolor (sorghum). RNAcentral describes it as "long non-coding RNA (SBIC_LNC002824)". The record is from RNAcentral. Lineage: Eukaryota; Viridiplantae; Streptophyta; Magnoliopsida; Poales; Poaceae.
AGCAUCUAUUGCUCCAUAAAUGGAUACAACUCUACAAGACGACUUGUGACACCGGAUCGGGCGUCAACAUAAUGGCCGCAGUCACCUAUCGGCUCUUGUUCAGAACCAUGCCCUUAAAACCAACAUACAUUCAGCUCCAGAUGGCAGAUGAGAAAUUUAGAGAAGUUAAAGGAAUAGUAACUGAUGUCCCUGUCAAAAUAGAUGAUUAUUUUGUCUACACAGACUUUUAGGUUAUUGAGAUGGGAGAAGACGAAUACGAUCCACCCAUCAUCCUUGGAAGACCAUUCCUCAGCACCGUUAAGGCAAUCAUCUACAUUGGAACUGGAGAAGUCCAUAUGCACUUCCCCUCAGAGAAGGUACGCCGCUAUUUUACUGACCCUAACUAUAUUGUUAAAGAAUCUAAGCACGUUAGAAAGCGACGCAACCGCAACCAGAGGAGGCAAAUCAUCAAGGACGGAUGGGCAGACUACGAAGGAGAAGUGGUAAGGUCAGAAGACGUAGAGUUUAAACAGAACUAUCCUGAGGAGACCGAAGCACCGAGUCAGGUGUGGAGAGAAAAGAUAACCAUACAUGAAGAAGAGGCACCGCCGAAAGUACCGACUCCGCCAUCCAACGUAUCCCAGGACGAAUGAGAAAACGGAGAGUCCCGUUCAGAGGACUUAAAAACACCGAACACCUUGCCAAGAGGUAAACUUGGUAGUUAUCCUUUUCCCUUUCAAUUAUUUAAAUAGCUUGCUUAGUUAAUCAUGUUCAUGCUAACCUAAAAAGAAAAUAAAAAUGUGAAAAAAAAUAGUAAGCCCCAUGUGAGUAUACGAGUGGCAUAAAAACCCAUAAGUACAUUCACUGUGGUGGCAUAAAAAUAAAAUAAAUAUUUCUUUUCUGCUCUAUAAAAUGAAAAUACAAAAACAGAGAGUAAUAUUAAGGAGUCUCAACAUGAUAAAGGCUAGAUAUCUAUGCUAACACUUAAUCAGUUCCACAAGCUUUGUUGUCUAUUUGAGCUCCACAAAAUUUAAGAAUCAAGAAGACUAGCAGACGGAGGACAUUCUAAUCGCUGUCAGAAUGCUGCUGACUUUCAAAUACACCUCUGCCACCUGCUAGCUACAUCAAGAGAAAUUACGUCAAAAUUCAGCUUGGGGGAGAGCACCCCCAUUUAUCUCGAUAAGUAUUUCUAUCUAUCUCUAUACUUAUACUAUAUUAAAAUAUACAUUACUAUGGAAAACUAAAUAAAGAUUUUAUGCUUAUAUAUAUAUGUCUUUUGCUUAGUAUGUUUAAUAAAUAAAUAAAGUGGCUAUGCUAAUCUGUAUCUAAAUAAAACUCUAGCAUGGAUAUGACGAAUAGUUGCUCUACCUAAUUUGCAAAUUUGAAGUUCUCUCACUAGUUUAGAUACAACUGUUAUAAUUUAAAGCUUGCUCUAGACCUAAACUUGUGGGAUGAAAACUUGAUCUGAAGUCUAAGUUGUUAACGGAUAUGAUAUGGGAAGGUUGAGCUGCUGUUUAUCUAUUCCUAGAGAUGCUAGAAUUCUGUAGAAUUUUAUCUUUGAAAAUCUUUAAAAUGUUGCAUGAUGAGUUCCUAUAUGAUGAGAGUUUAAAUUCCAACCACAGCCAUAUAUACAUGCUUGCUAGACUUUGAGCCACACAUUUACUAUUUACUGCUUAUGAGCAUUGAGUGUGGUCAAGCUGUGUAGACCCUUAGGAGCUUGUCAUGUGGUUGAAUCAAGAUUUCACUUGCACGUUCACUCACAUAUGCUGCUUCUACUCCAGAAGUACCAUCCACAUAUAUCCACCCAAUUCCAUCUCCAGAAUCACCCAAAAAUAUUCUACUCCUAAUCCGAGAGAGAAUAACCAAAAAUAUUUCUGUUUUUCCCCUAUGAAAUAAAUGCUCAAGUUAUCUUGUAACUACCACUUGCUAUAUUAUCUCAUGAGAUGAGUGCUCUAAAAAAAGAAAAAAAAAACAGAAAAGAUACGAGGAAAUAAAAAGGGGCAAGUGCCUGGAACCUCGAAAGAAAAGAAAAAGUGAGACGAGAGGUAAAAAUGGACAAGUGUUCGACAGUAGAAUUAGAGGUACAAGAUACCCACCUGAGAAGAAAGAAAAAAAAAGAAAAGAUAGAGCAUCUCAUUCUCCUCAAAGUUUCAAAAAGCAAGGAAGGUAUGUAUCCUCUCAAAGAGCACAGGUAGAAUUAGACUUCCACCAUUGUUAUCACCAUCAUUACCAUACACCAUUCAUUUGCCACACAUGCACAUCUUGAUUUGGCUUAUUGAUUUGUUUCUUUGGAUCCAUGGUUUGACUAUACAAUAAAUGUCUUGUAAGUAUGUAUACUUUAUCUCCCACCUAUGAGCUCCAGAUAUUAAAGCCUUAUUAGAGUAGGGUGAGAGAUAAGGCAAUGUCACUAUGCCAUAUACCAUAAAUACCACAUAUAUUGAGAGAAGGCACAUACCAUCACUGCCAUGGUAAGGAUCCAGAAAUACCACAAAGGAGAGAUUUGAGAGAGUCAUACAAGGAAUCUCUGAGUUUUAUUUGAAAAUCUGCAAAAACUCCAGAGCUAUAGCUGAUCAAGAAUAAGAGACAUGGCACUUGACUAGAAUGUUCUAUCCUUUAACUACUCAAGACAGAAGUGACGGUUACAAGUCCCAUGGUGAAAGGUAAAGUAAGUAAGUUUUAUGUCUUGACAGUUUACUCUAACUCAGAGAUAAGAUCUUAUUAUAAAGCAUGUGUACCGUCAAUUUUAAAAGUAUUGCAGCAACUUCUAAUCUAUCCUUGCUCAGGGACGAGCAAGUGGUAAGCUUGGGGGAGUUUGUUGACGGUCCUUAAGUAUCAAAUUUAAUUAUCAAAUAAACAAAGAAAAGGAUCCAAAUGAAAUCAACAUCUAGACUUAGGGUUUUAUCUGACAGAAUUCCACGAGUUUUGGUGUUUGUCUAUUUCUGCAGGGGGUUAUUAGGAAAUACGAAAGAAAGGCCCACACGUCGGGAUUACAUAGAGAUAUUAACGUGCCGCACAAUUAUCUUACAUCUAGAAGACUCAAGAAGCCACGGGAAGGAAGCGGAGGUCGAACGGGGCCAGGCACUGGGCGCCCGCCCAGUUGCCCUGGGCGCCCGCCCCCUGUUGGAGUCCAAACAGGACUCUCUCUCGGGAAAGACCUCCACCGACCUAAAGGAUCAAGGAUUAUCGUUCAAUCAAUGUCGGUUUGAUCCAACGGCCCAUAUUCACUUGAAGGGACUAUAAAACCAGACCCCCUGGCCACUGGAGGAGAGAGCCUCUCAACCCUAAUUCAUUAUUCUUCAAGGGAGAAGAAGCCUCUGAUCAAGAUUAGAGCCACCACAUCAAUUAGAUAUCUAGAUUAGCAUAGCUACAUAGGAUUAGAACUAGAAGGAGCAAAUCUUCGAUUGGUUUUCAGAUCUGUCAAGAGGAUUCUUGGUAAUUCUCUAAUUGUGCUUCUAAUUGUUCUUCUAAUCAUCUUUGUUCUUCAAUAUUAUGAAUAUGACUUUGUUCUACUUCAAAAUAUUGCUUAUGACUUUGCUCUACUUGCUUAUAUUCAAGAUUAUAUUAUUCUUAGUUUGUCAUAGUUAUGUACUUGGCUUAGUUAGAUUGGAUCUAUAUACAUGCUUAGGAUCGUAUAGCGUUUAUCCAUCGGAUCCAUGGGUAAAUGAUAGAUAUUGUGUAGGCGUGGUGCUUAUACCGUAUUUAUCUGCGAUUGUACCCAAUAUGCAAGAUCGUGGGGUAGUUCGUGAUAGUGACAACUGUUGACGGUCCUUAAGUAUCAAAUAUAAUCAUCAAAUAAAUAAAGAAAAGGAUCCAAAUGCAACCAACACCUAGACUUAGGGUUUUAUCUGACAGAAUUCCACGAGUUUUGGUGUUUGUCUAUUUCUGCAGGGGGUUAUCAGGAAAUAAGGAAGAAAGGCCCAC